RNAcentral lists this ribosomal RNA (442 nucleotides) under uncultured bacterium. RNAcentral describes it as "partial 16S ribosomal RNA". It matches the Rfam family "Bacterial small subunit ribosomal RNA", at positions 339 to 795 of the family's 1533-position model. The record is from RNAcentral.
CUACGGGCUGCAGCAGUGGGGAAUAUUGGGCAAUGGGCGAAAGCCUGACCCAGCAACGCCGCGUGAUUGAAGAAGGUCUUCGGAUUGUAAAAAUCUGUCCUUGGGGACGAAAAAAAUGACGGUACCCAAGGAGGAAACCCCGGCUAACUACGUGCCAGCAGCCGCGGUAAUACGUAGGGGGCGAGCGUUGUCCGGAAUUACUGGGCGUAAAGGGUGCGCAGGCGGCGCUUUAAGUCAGAUGUGAAAUACCCAGGCUUAACCUGGGGGGUGCAUUUGAAACUGGAGUGCUUGAGUGCAGGAGAGGAAAGUGGAAUUCCUAGUGUAGCGGUGAAAUGCGUAGAUAUUAGGAGGAACACCAGUGGCGAAGGCGACUUUCUGGACUGUAACUGACGCUGAGGCACGAAAGCGUGGGGAGCAACCAGGAUUAGAUACCCUGGUAGUC